GAAGUGUUAGUAAAACAUUACAUGACUUUGUCAAAGUUAAGUUAUAGGUGAGAACCCUAUACACCUCA
RNAcentral lists this transfer RNA (68 nucleotides) under Okapia johnstoni (okapi). Its description in RNAcentral is "tRNA-Asp". It matches the Rfam family "tRNA". From Rfam's summary of the family: Transfer RNA (tRNA) molecules are approximately 80 nucleotides in length. Their secondary structure includes four short double-helical elements and three loops (D, anti-codon, and T loops). Lineage: Eukaryota; Metazoa; Chordata; Mammalia; Artiodactyla; Giraffidae. The record is from RNAcentral.